Molecule: non-coding RNA, 201 nt
Filed under: Acholeplasma oculi
Lineage: Bacteria; Bacillati; Mycoplasmatota; Mollicutes; Acholeplasmatales; Acholeplasmataceae
Description: T-box sequence
Rfam family: T-box leader
About the family: Uncharged tRNA acts as the effector for transcription antitermination of genes in the T-box leader family. T-boxes are found upstream of many aminoacyl-tRNA synthetase genes and some amino acid biosynthetic genes usually in Gram-positive bacteria. The anticodon of a specific tRNA base pairs to a specifier sequence within the T-box motif, and the NCCA acceptor tail of the tRNA base pairs to a conserved bulge in the T-box antiterminator hairpin.
Source: RNAcentral
UUUAACACGAAGAAAGAGCUCAUUUUAAAUGCUAGAUGAUUAGAGAGUCUGUGGUUGGUGAAAACAGAACAUAAGCUUUAAAAUUAAUCCACUCUGGAGUGAUGCUAAUAACAUCCGGGAUUGUUUCCGUUAUCAAACAGUAAAGCGCUAUGUAAUCAUAGAAUUAGGGUGGCACCACGGAAAAAUUAUUUCGUCCUUAGA